AGGAUGAACGCUGGCGGCGUGCCUAACACAUGCAAGUCGAACGUCCUGUCUCGCAAGAGGCAGGGAGUGGCGGACGGGUGAGUACCACGUGGGUUAUCUACCGUGAGGUGAGGAAUACCGGCGAGAAAUCGCCGACAAGACCGCAUAGCCUCGGUGCAAGUCGAGGAAAGCUCUCUCGAGAGAGGGAGCGCCACACGAGGAGCCUGCGCCCGAUUAGCUAGCUGGUGGAGUAAUGGUUCACCAGGGCGACGAUCGGUAGCUGGUCUGAGAGGACGAUCAGCCACACUGGGAUUGAGAACGGCCCAGACUCCUACGGGGGGCAGCAGUGAGGAAUUUUCGCAAUGGGGGCAACCCUGAACGAGCAACGCCGCGUGCAGGAAGAAGGUUUUCGGAUCGUAAACUGCUUUUCUCGGGGAAGAGAACGGACGGUACCCGAGGAAUCAGCCCCGGCUAACUACGUGCCAGCAGCCGCGGUAA
RNAcentral lists this ribosomal RNA (477 nucleotides) under uncultured bacterium. Its description in RNAcentral is "SSU rRNA". It matches the Rfam family "Bacterial small subunit ribosomal RNA", at positions 26 to 523 of the family's 1533-position model. The record is from RNAcentral.